Long non-coding RNA from Odocoileus virginianus texanus, 1047 nucleotides. RefSeq lists it as uncharacterized. Lineage: Eukaryota; Metazoa; Chordata; Mammalia; Artiodactyla; Cervidae. The record is from RefSeq and is a predicted model, not a curated record.
AGUGCCCUUAUAAAAGAGACCCCAGGAAGAUCCUUCCCUUCUUCCUUCACGUGAAGACACAGUGAGAAGACAGCCGUCUGUGAGGAAGCUGGUCUUAACCCAACACUGAAUCCCCUGACAUCUUGACCUCAGACUUUCCAGCCUCCAGAACUGUGAAAACAAAACCACUUCCGUUGCUCGGACCAGUCUAUUUUGGAGAACUCCGGUUUCCACAGGUACACCCUUUAGUCUCCAUCAGACAGUCCCAAAGAUGUAGCUUGUCUCCUAGUCUGGAUGAAAUACAGCUCAGAUCUUGGAAGUACGGACUGGACUGCUGAGGACAGACAGAACUCUAGAAGAAGCACUCUAAUUCUGGCUCAGAUGGUGAGCUGGAGGUGCUGAGAGCUUCAAGUCAGAGGGGAAGUCAAAUACUCGGCCACCCUCUAACUCUCUAUUUAUACUUUCUGCGAGAAACUUCCCAACUGAUAGUCCGACCGCCUUCCAAACGCCAAUGGGCAUGAAAUAUGGUUUUCCCCUAAGUCCCUCUUCAGAACUGGAUCUCUCUCCCCUUCGGGGACUGCAGGGUCUCGUCUAAGCUCAAGGAAUAUUUUUCUCAUCAUCAUUUAUGGAAAGCAGCACUACUGUCACUUCUACUCCAGGUGGUUGGGUGAAAUGGUAGCGCAAGUGGGGAAGAAUAAACCACAAUAUCUGCCAUUUCUCAUUCAUUCAUCCAAACCUAUUUAUCCCCAAGACCAAGACUGCUUCUUUCUAGUAUAAGACCUUGUUACAGACUAAGCCGACUGGUAAUACAAUUGGUUUUACAAGCUAAGCAAUUCCAACCGUAUUGAAAUCAUUCCCCUGAAAUGCUUUCUUUCCCAUUCAACACUGCUUGUUUACGUGGUGUCGGAUCAGAUGGAAGAAAGAAGAACAAGGUGAUUCAUGAUUUUCUUCCAAGGAGACAGCUGCAACAUAAACGAUGUCUCAGGAAACAGAAUAAUCUGUUUGUGUGGCCACAACUCUGUGAACUCUGACCUGUCUUAAUCUUCAGGGGUGGAUAUGUGUGUCACU